Molecule: non-coding RNA, 5099 nt
Organism: Xyrichtys novacula (pearly razorfish)
Lineage: Eukaryota; Metazoa; Chordata; Actinopteri; Labriformes; Labridae
Source: the annotation of a GenBank genome assembly
GGAAAGAGACACAGGUUGUGUUUUUUUUUAACCAGACAAUGGGAGAGACAGACAAAUGUUUGUUUUGUUAAAUUGCCCGAAUUCAGUGAUCAAAGCGUAAGUCCCAACUGGAACUGGAUCAAUGAAUCGUUGGCCGUAAGUAUAAGUUGUUUAAGUUAAGUCCAGUUUAACUUAAUUUUUUUUUUUUGACAAAUAGCCUGUACAUCUACUGUUCAAAAAUGGUUGUCAAGUCCUUUCUCUACUGUUACGUCUUUAAUUGUAUAAAACACCACAUGGAUGUGUUUCCAGGGUUCACAGCUUCCUUUUGUGUCUCCCAGAAGUGGAUGUGCUUGUGCUUCAGAAUAACAGAGUUUUGUUGUCUUUUGUCUCAAUUUCAUGUUUUCACUCAUAUUGAAGAUUUAAAGUAUGAAGAAAGUGAGAAAGACCAAAGCUGUCAUGGAGAAACAAGUUUAUUUUUCUAUUGUUUGGACACUUACCUUUUGUGUAUUGUGUCUCUAACUCCGAACAAUCAUGCAGCGUACAUAAAGGUUUUGUUUUUUAUCCUCUCAGCAGUCAAACACCCCAGAGGACCUCUGACAAAUGAGAGAAUAGAGAAGUUUCUCUUCAAGGUUGGAUCACUUCAGCUGAAUACAGUUUGAUGUCUUUGGAGAAGUUGAAUAUUAAACGUGGAGGAAGAAUGACACGUGUGAAUAAAAGCUGAGAGCGCAGUAAGAGGAUCUUUUUGUCAGACACUAUCAUUGUGUGUUGGCCCUUUUCUCGUCCAUUCAGACUCUGAAGUGUUUGACAUAGAAACAUUUGUAUGAACCAGUCAGAAGUAUCUUAGUUUUAAACUCACUUCGACAAUGUCUCUCACUUAAGAAACUCUAACUGACUUCUCAGGUUACAGAUAUCACAAGCUUAAAUCAAACAUCCCCAGAAUCAUACGGCAGAGUGGUCUGGAAAGUUUCCUACAAAGAGAAUCAGGAUUUUUACUUUUUAGAAAGAAAACUGUAUAAUAUAUAUAAGAAAUAUCUAUUAAUGGGUUAAAGAAUAAAAAGGAGGUCAUCACUGUUUUUCUCACCGUGCUCUUAAAGAGGAAUCAAACAAAAGCUGACUAAAGAGGUGUCAUUAGUGAACAUGUCUGCUCAGUCUGUAUGAACACAGCUGUAAAGUUGAGCCGUCUCUCUCUGUGACAGAAUGAUGAGGCUGUGAAAUAGUAAUGCAAGUCCUGAAACCUGAAACCACAGUCUUUAGAGCUCCCCUGGUGGCCGGCUGUGGUUCAGCCUCCAUGUUGAGAAAAACUCCACAUAAAAGACACAGAAAAAAUGAAGGAUAAAUGUUGUUUUUACUGUGAGGUCAGAUGGCUGCAGGGAUUUAGAGACUCUAUCUGCCUCGCCUAAACUCAACCUCCUGUGGGACGUCUGUUCAACCUUAAUCGAUAACACAAGCACUUUAGGAGUGUAAACGACCAAUGAAGAAGUGACUCUCAAUAGACCGCGUUCCCAUCUUCCUGCGACGUCACUCAUACCCGAGAUUUCCACUGUUCCGGAACGGCUCAGAUUUUUUGCAGUACACCAAUUCCUACAGGAUCCAUUGGUGAGGCAAAUUUUGUACCUCUAGACUUCUAGAUUCAGCAUCUCCUCAUCCAUGGUGUCAUCAGGAUGAAAUGCUGUCUAUAAACCUUUCUUUUGUUCGUCCUCGCUUGUUUGCAUGGUGUGAAAUAUGAUCCGCCUAAAACACAGAAUGUUUUACUUUGUGUCUGUGCCCAACUUCCUUUCCAGCAUGGCUAAUCUGUGCUGAAUUUAUCUGGCACGCUCUGGCGUCCGGAAAAAAUAGAACUCUUGCGAUCAGCUGCAGAGUCCGGCGAUCUGGCGGAAUUUUCCCUUUAGGCUGAGAAACUGGAACCGUUAAUCUACACAGAGCAGAUAUCAUCAGACAGGAAGUCAAGUACAAGCAGGAUAUAGUGAAUCUGGUAAAUUUCAAAAUAAAACACCAUAUACGGACUCCUAUCUGUUCAGAUCAUGUAGAUGAGAAAUACUUUCAGAUUAUGGAUUAAUCAAUAAAACAGAACAACUCCAUUUCCUAUCCCUGUGGACCACAACAAGACUUUUAGCUGCUAACAGAAAGGUAAAGCAACCUGUUGUGAGUCUGUUGUCUUUUGUAUACUGAGUCCAGCUUCCCAGGCUGCACUACGCUGCUGCUAUGCUACUGCUGCUACCCUCCUGUUACGCUGUUACGUUUCCUCUGGAGGUGUUCAUGUCCAUGCUGCUGGUUUUUUACAUUUCCUACCAUAUGAUGUUAAGUCUACAAGUCUAAUGUUAACAUGUGACUGCUCUUAUUCUGCUGCAUUUCUAAAUUUAAAGACUUCUCUGAGCUUAUUUAAAAAACUCAGAGCUAAAUCCAUAUACUACAUUGUCUUAACUUUUUGAAUCUCUAUUUUAACGCUCAUAGUCAUGUUCCUGCUUUACACCCCUCUGGAUUCACACAUGUGGCCUUUAGAUACUUUUUCAAAGACACUCAAGGUGAGGCUGCAGCUGCUUACCACCAGGGGGCAGCAUGAGGCAAGAAUCCCUGAUAUCAGGCCUACGAUGGCUGGAGGAUCUCUCUGCUGUUUCCUCAUUUCUUUAGAUUUUAUUGAUAUUGUUUUAUUGAUUUCAAAUUAAACAUUUCAUAAGGAGAGAGGUUAUGGAGAAUGUCACCAUAAAUAAGCAAAACCUACGGUCAAUUAUUAGUGGGAACAAUGUGUUAAGGCACCAUUUCCGAGUUUAGAAAAAGUGUGUUGUUGUGCUCUUGUGUUGACAUGCCGUUGUGUUGUUCUGUGCUACAGAUGCUCUAUUGUUUAGGGUAACAUUGAUGCGUUGUUGGCUGAAUUGUUAGCAGAUAAAAAAACAAUACUAUACUGACAACUGGGUGAGAGAGACAGAGAGAGAGGGAGAGGCAGCAGAAAGAGUCUGUGCUGCUUUCAGAGAGCAGGAAGUUUUAAAACCAGUUUCCAUUUGAGUUAAUAUGGUGACUAGAGGGCAGAACUUAUUCAAUACAACGGUGUGAUCAGCUUUAUUAUUUUGGGACAACCCUUAAGGAAAACAUGACUCUGAAAGCACAUUUUAAUAGAAUAUGUUUCUCAGUAUCUUUCCAGUUAUGUUCAUAUAGUGUGGUAUAAUGGGUCAGUUCUAUAUUUGCAACAAUAUGCAGACAAACCAAAUCAGAUCACAGUACUGAAAAUGAGUGCAUUCAAACAGCCAUUGUAAUAUUGUAUUUUAUUUUCACAUGUGUUAAAGGUUUUUGGAGCUCCAGAAAGAAAAUAUUAAAAUAUGAAAAUAUUCUUGCAGCUGUAGAAAUGUUUUGCUUAAUCUUGAAACAAAGUUUUGCACAAACAUAUUCACUGUAUUUUGCGAAAUUUGGAGCUGUUGAAAAAAGUGCACUGACUAUUUCUGCAGCUCUGAAACUUUUUUUACAUUUUAACUCACAAUUAGACUCUACGGUGGCCGAGAACCGCCACUGCUGCUGCAAAAAACAAAACAAAACAAUGGAAGCUACCAAUAAGAAAAAAAAAGAAACUGAAGCCUGCUGCAUAUAAAAAAAGAAACGGUACAGAUUAAAAAAAAAAAGCCACAACAGAAGUUUAAGAUGUAAAAAAAGUGGCGAUGCAAAAAAAAAAAAAAGUUACUCAAUGCAAAAAUAAAAGAAUGCAAAUAAAAAAAGCCACAAUGGAAGAUAGCUGCCGGGGACCAAUAAUGAUGAUGCACCGGUGUUUUACGAUCUAGACACAGAAGACGACAGCAAGAAGACGAGCAAAGAGGUAAGUGGAAAGGUUAUUGUUUAAUUUCCCUUUAUAUGCUUUUCAGUGUGUCAUUUGGUUAGGCCAUGUCAAUAUGAAGUUGAACUGGAGCCAACACUACCCCAGCAUCAUCCAGUUCAACUUCAAAACACCAGUGCAUCAUCAUUAUUGAUCCCUGGCAGCUCAGUACUGUUGUUGCUUUUUUAUUUGCAUCCUUUUAUUAUGCAGUAAGUAGCUUUUUUUUCCAUCGCCACUUUUUUUUGCGCCGUUAACUUCCUUUGUGGCUUUUUUUAUCUGUUCUGUUUCUUUUUCUUCCUUGCAGUGGACUUCAGUUUCUUUCUUUCUUUCUUUUUUUUUUUUUUUUUUGCAUUGGUAACUUCCAUCGUGGCUUCUUUUUUCUAGCAGCAGCAGCAGCAGUGGUGGUUCUCAGCCCCUGAAAGACUCAUUAAUGGAAACUGCUCCUGAUUUCAACAGAGGUUUGUCUGAGAAGAGAAUUAACUUUGAAUUAACACAGUUUCUCUUAAUUGCAGCAGUGAAACAUUUUUAUUUGUCUUGAGAUUUUUCUGCAUUUCAGAUGUUUAUGUGAGUGAAACGUGGUCUGCACAGCGGCCCCUCUGCAGCAGAUGAGAGCUCCAGUUAGGAAAUGUGUGGUGAACUUCCAUUAACAAUAAUUGAGCCCCUCUCCAGUGAGAUGCUGACAGGGAGGGGUGUGUUGUUAUUAAAAUGCCUUCUCCUCUAAUGUGCAGGUAAGGACCCCUUCACGGUCGCUUCUCACCAGGCCCGCUGCCAGGACCGUCUCUCGCUUUUAAGUGAGCACCUUCAUUGAGACAGAUUUAGCUCAAUUAAACCGUUUUACCUCUGCCAGGAGUGUUUCAGAGCAUCGCUGCUGCUGAGCGGCCUUUUCAAUUAGCAGCAGUGAGCAGAUUCAGCAGCGAUCCUAUUACUGUACGGCUUUGAGACUGACUGUGAAAACCGUAAACAUCACUUCUAAUGUCCUUAAUGGAGAUCGAGGAGGCUGUUAACACUUUAGAGCACGAGUAAACAAACAGACGGACCGCUGAUUAAAUAUGUGCAUAAAUACAGUAAAGAAUGGGAUUCAGGUUUGAUCAUGGUGAUGCUGCUGUUUGUAAGAUGACUCCUGAUCUGUGUUGAUUUCACAGCAAUGGUUCAUUAUUUCCUAACAACUCACUGUUGCUAUGGAUGCACCUGUAAUUACAGUCUAUGCUUGGCUCACUGUAAUUGUCCUGUCGUCCAGGCUGUAAACAUGCAUAUCUGCUGUAAAAUUGGAUGUUUGAACUUUUCGAAAAACCUCUAAAAAUAAAAAGGUAACAUGUGAUUGGAC